CUAGGUUUGAGGGCGUUUGCUGAGGGGUCGUUUCUCUUGCUUUCCCUUCCCAUUUUAUUUUACUCCAUCAUAAAACUGAGGACGGUAAAGCCACGCUUCUCUUUUUUAUAAUAAUGAAGAUUUACUCGUGGCAGCCGCGGAUCCUCUCCAUUCCCCUUGCUUUCUCCCUCCAAGCUAGAAGCCCUUAACCCAGUUCUUUGUCAUAAUGGAAGAAGCCAAAAUAGUUUGCAUGGGCCAAAUCGGGACCACAAAUGAUUAUUGUACAACUUGUGAGCUACAAAUGGUUCUUAUGUUUUAUAAAAAGUGUAAACGAAACAGAAAAUAAUCUAUGGAAAGGUCUGAGAGCCACCAUAUUCUCAUCUGCAGAGAAAGCAAAUAUGGACCCUUACUCCAAGCAUUUGAGUUGAAGGUAACAUCUUCCUUCAAAAUGCACUCCUGUCAACUCUGCCUCAGUUCUUCAGACAUGUCAAAAGAAACGUCCUUUUCUCCAUGACCAAGAGUUGGCUGCAUCUGGGGAUAUUGUUCUAGUAAGUCUCAGAGAGGUCAAUCUAGAAAUAAUCUGCUGUGAGAAAAGGAACUAGUUGUGCAUAA
Long non-coding RNA from Mesocricetus auratus (golden hamster), 591 nucleotides. RefSeq lists it as uncharacterized. The transcript has 3 exons. The record is from RefSeq and is a predicted model, not a curated record. NCBI's taxonomy places the organism in Eukaryota, Metazoa, Chordata, Mammalia, Rodentia, Cricetidae.